GACGAACGCUGGCGGCGUGCCUAAUACAUGCAAGUAGAACGCUGAAGAGAGGAGCUUGCUCUUCUUGGAUGAGUUGCGAACGGGUGAGUAACGCGUAGGUAACCUGCCUUGUAGCGGGGGAUAACUAUUGGAAACGAUAGCUAAUACCGCAUAACAAUGGAUGACACAUGUCAUUUAUUUGAAAGGGGCAAUUGCUCCACUACAAGAUGGACCUGCGUUGUAUUAGCUAGUAGGUGAGGUAAUGGCUCACCUAGGCGACGAUACAUAGCCGACCUGAGAGGGUGAUCGGCCACACUGGGACUGAGACACGGCCCAGACUCCUUCGGGAGGCAGCAGUAGGGAAUCUUCGGCAAUGGGGGCAACCCUGACCGAGCAACGCCGCGUGAGUGAAGAAGGUUUUCGGAUCGUAAAGCUCUGUUGUAAGUCAAGAACGGGUGUGAGAGUGGAAAGUUCACACUGUGACGGUAGCUUACCAGAAAGGGACGGCUAACUACGUG
RNAcentral lists this ribosomal RNA (497 nucleotides) under uncultured bacterium. RNAcentral describes it as "partial 16S ribosomal RNA". It matches the Rfam family "Bacterial small subunit ribosomal RNA", at positions 28 to 507 of the family's 1533-position model. The record is from RNAcentral.